UAAUUAUAUUUAUAGUUUUUCUUGUAAUUGUACUUAUAUUAGUAAAAAUUUUAGUUUUUAUUGCUUUAUAACUAGUUUGCAUAUAUAGAAUAACAUUUUCUUAGACAAUUACUGCAUAUCAUUAGUUAAGUACAAGAUUUUCAUAAUAAUUAGUAAGAUUUUUAAUCUUCCUCAAUCUUGAUAUCUAUAUAUCUUUAAUAUGCUUUUGUAGUUAUUGCCAAUCUUCAGCAUUUUUCUAAGCUUCAUUGUGUAAGCUAAAAGUUUUUUAAACCAAAACUAACAUUACCAGAAAGUUGAUUUUGUCUUAAAAUCUAUUAUGUAGACUUUUUUUCUGUUAUAGGACUCAGAUUGGUUUUUAAAUUUAGACAUAAAAGGUACAAAACACAGAAUUUUUGAUAUAAAAAAUUUUUACAGUUUACAUGGAAUGAAGAAUCCAGUUUUCAUAGCAUUUGGACUGUUCAAAACAAAAUAUUCUUUGAUGAUAUUUGCUUUGCCCUCAUAAAUAUUACUACUAGCAUUUUCUUCUGGAUAUUGAAACACCAUAGAUUUGUAUGAUUAAUGCAUUAAAAUUUACACAGUCAAAGAUCAAUGGUGGUUAUUCUGCUGCAUCCUUUUUAAUGUUUAUAAGUAUUACACCAUUUCCAAGUGUUAUUUAUCGAGGUGAGAUCGAUCUUGUUAAUUGGGUUUGUCUGUUUACAGCAGUUAGAAUAUACUGCCAACGCUUCCACAAUCCUCCCGAGGGAGGAUUGCAGAAGUGUUGGCGGUAUAUUUCAACUGCUUAUAAGUAUUGGGUAGUUUAUUGUUAUUAAUAGUAAUUUAUGCA
Molecule: long non-coding RNA, 823 nt
Filed under: Androctonus crassicauda
Lineage: Eukaryota; Metazoa; Arthropoda; Arachnida; Scorpiones; Buthidae
Source: RNAcentral